GUAACCUGGCUGUAAGAUGCCAUGGCAAUAAUACAGCAUUGCUGUAAAAAACGACUCCUGAUGUCAGUUACUCAGACAGAACACCAACUGGCCCCAGAUACUGAAGGAGAAGCCUUGCUAGCGGGGAUGUUUUAAAGUGUUGAUCACUGCAGCCUAAGCAGACAUGGAGGCACAUCAGAUGACCAGACAGACACCCCCACCCUCAUUAUGAUGGUGGAUCUAUUGAGGGACUUGUCAUCGUGAGAGCUGGACAGCAGGGAAACAUUUGCAGCUGCCUGCUGCUGCUCUUUGUGGAAAGAUGUUGAAGGAUAUCAACACUAUCACAUUUGACUGAAAGUUGCUGCAGCUCUCUGGGCUGAACUUGCAGGAAAAAUGUGAAUGUUGUCAAGGACAGGAAA
This is a long non-coding RNA of Perca flavescens (yellow perch), 398 nucleotides long. RefSeq lists it as uncharacterized. The record is from RefSeq and is a predicted model, not a curated record. NCBI's taxonomy places the organism in Eukaryota, Metazoa, Chordata, Actinopteri, Perciformes, Percidae. The transcript is spliced from 3 exons.